RNAcentral lists this ribosomal RNA (469 nucleotides) under uncultured bacterium. Its description in RNAcentral is "partial 16S ribosomal RNA". It matches the Rfam family "Bacterial small subunit ribosomal RNA", at positions 28 to 508 of the family's 1533-position model. The record is from RNAcentral.
GACGAACGCUGGCGGCGUGCUUAACACAUGCAAGUCGAACGGAAAGGCCCUGCUUUUGUGGGGUGCUCGAGUGGCGAACGGGUGAGUAACACGUGAGUAACCUGCCCUUGACUUUGGGAUAACUUCAGGAAACUGGGGCUAAUACCGGAUAGGAGCUCCUGCUGCAUGGUGGGGGUUGGAAAGUUUCGGAGGUUGGGGAUGGACUCGCGGCUUAUCAGCUUGUUGGUGGGGUAGUGGCUUACCAAGGCUUUGACGGGUAGCCGGCCUGAGAGGGUGACCGGCCACAUUGGGACUGAGAUACGGCCCAGACUCCUACGGGAGGCAGCAGUGGGGAAUAUUGCACAAUGGGCGGAAGCCUGAUGCAGCAACGCCGCGUGCGGGAUGACGGCCUUCGGGUUGUAAACCGCUUUCGCCUGUGACGAAGCGUGAGUGACGGUAAUGGGUAAAGAAGCACCGGCUAACUACGUGC